RNAcentral lists this ribosomal RNA (1924 nucleotides) under Escherichia coli. RNAcentral's name for it is "bacterial LSU rRNA". It matches the Rfam family "Bacterial large subunit ribosomal RNA", at positions 397 to 2306 of the family's 2925-position model. Lineage: Bacteria; Pseudomonadati; Pseudomonadota; Gammaproteobacteria; Enterobacterales; Enterobacteriaceae. The record is from RNAcentral.
CUGUGAGCUCGAUGAGUAGGGCGGGACACGUGGUAUCCUGUCUGAAUAUGGGGGGACCAUCCUCCAAGGCUAAAUACUCCUGACUGACCGAUAGUGAACCAGUACCGUGAGGGAAAGGCGAAAAGAACCCCGGCGAGGGGAGUGAAAAAGAACCUGAAACCGUGUACGUACAAGCAGUGGGAGCACGCUUAGGCGUGUGACUGCGUACCUUUUGUAUAAUGGGUCAGCGACUUAUAUUCUGUAGCAAGGUUAACCGAAUAGGGGAGCCGAAGGGAAACCGAGUCUUAACUGGGCGUUAAGUUGCAGGGUAUAGACCCGAAACCCGGUGAUCUAGCCAUGGGCAGGUUGAAGGUUGGGUAACACUAACUGGAGGACCGAACCGACUAAUGUUGAAAAAUUAGCGGAUGACUUGUGGCUGGGGGUGAAAGGCCAAUCAAACCGGGAGAUAGCUGGUUCUCCCCGAAAGCUAUUUAGGUAGCGCCUCGUGAAUUCAUCUCCGGGGGUAGAGCACUGUUUCGGCAAGGGGGUCAUCCCGACUUACCAACCCGAUGCAAACUGCGAAUACCGGAGAAUGUUAUCACGGGAGACACACGGCGGGUGCUAACGUCCGUCGUGAAGAGGGAAACAACCCAGACCGCCAGCUAAGGUCCCAAAGUCAUGGUUAAGUGGGAAACGAUGUGGGAAGGCCCAGACAGCCAGGAUGUUGGCUUAGAAGCAGCCAUCAUUUAAAGAAAGCGUAAUAGCUCACUGGUCGAGUCGGCCUGCGCGGAAGAUGUAACGGGGCUAAACCAUGCACCGAAGCUGCGGCAGCGACGCUGAUGCGUUGUUGGGUAGGGGAGCGUUCUGUAAGCCUGUGAAGGUGUGCUGUGAGGCAUGCUGGAGGUAUCAGAAGUGCGAAUGCUGACAUAAGUAACGAUAAAGCGGGUGAAAAGCCCGCUCGCCGGAAGACCAAGGGUUCCUGUCCAACGUUAAUCGGGGCAGGGUGAGUCGACCCCUAAGGCGAGGCCGAAAGGCGUAGUCGAUGGGAAACAGGUUAAUAUUCCUGUACUUGGUGUUACUGCGAAGGGGGGACGGAGAAGGCUAUGUUGGCCGGGCGACGGUUGUCCCGGUUUAAGCGUGUAGGCUGGUUUUCCAGGCAAAUCCGGAAAAUCAAGGCUGAGGCGUGAUGACGAGGCACUACGGUGCUGAAGCAACAAAUGCCCUGCUUCCAGGAAAAGCCUCUAAGCAUCAGGUAACAUCAAAUCGUACCCCAAACCGACACAGGUGGUCAGGUAGAGAAUACCAAGGCGCUUGAGAGAACUCGGGUGAAGGAACUAGGCAAAAUGGUGCCGUAACUUCGGGAGAAGGCACGCUGAUAUGUAGGUGAAGUCCCUCGCGGAUGGAGCUGAAAUCAGUCGAAGAUACCAGCUGGCUGCAACUGUUUAUUAAAAACACAGCACUGUGCAAACACGAAAGUGGACGUAUACGGUGUGACGCCUGCCCGGUGCCGGAAGGUUAAUUGAUGGGGUUAGCGCAAGCGAAGCUCUUGAUCGAAGCCCCGGUAAACGGCGGCCGUAACUAUAACGGUCCUAAGGUAGCGAAAUUCCUUGUCGGGUAAGUUCCGACCUGCACGAAUGGCGUAAUGAUGGCCAGGCUGUCUCCACCCGAGACUCAGUGAAAUUGAACUCGCUGUGAAGAUGCAGUGUACCCGCGGCAAGACGGAAAGACCCCGUGAACCUUUACUAUAGCUUGACACUGAACAUUGAGCCUUGAUGUGUAGGAUAGGUGGGAGGCUUUGAAGUGUGGACGCCAGUCUGCAUGGAGCCGACCUUGAAAUACCACCCUUUAAUGUUUGAUGUUCUAACGUUGACCCGUAAUCCGGGUUGCGGACAGUGUCUGGUGGGUAGUUUGACUGGGGCGGUCUCCUCCUAAAGAGUAACGGAGG